This 305-nucleotide ribosomal RNA is filed under the name uncultured bacterium. RNAcentral describes it as "bacterial SSU rRNA". It matches the Rfam family "Bacterial small subunit ribosomal RNA", at positions 334 to 639 of the family's 1533-position model. The record is from RNAcentral.
GACCUACGGGAGGCAGCAGUGAGGAAUAUUGGUCAAUGGGCGCGAGCCUGAACCAGCCAAGUAGCGUGAAGGAUGACUGCCCUACGGGUUGUAAACUUCUUUUAUAAAGGAAUAAAGUGAGGCACGUGUGCCUUUUUGUAUGUAUUUUAUGAAUAAGGAUCGGCUAACUCCGUGCCAGCAGCCGCGGUAAUACGGAGGAUGCGAGCGUUAUCCGGAUUUAUUGGGUUUAAAGGGUGCGCAGGCGGAGGUGCAAGUCAGCGGUCAAAUUGCGGGGCUCAACCCCGUACUGCCGUUGAAACUGCAUC